Molecule: ribosomal RNA, 449 nt
Filed under: uncultured bacterium
Lineage: Bacteria
Description: bacterial SSU rRNA
Rfam family: Bacterial small subunit ribosomal RNA
Source: RNAcentral
UGGGGAAUAUUGCGCAAUGGGCGAAAGCCUGACGCAGCGACGCCGCGUGGAGGAUGAAGGUCUUCGGAUUGUAAACUUCUGUUAAGUGGGAAGAAAGACCUGUUUUUAAUAGAAAUGGGGGAUGACGGUACCAUUAGAGAAAGCACCGGCUAAACUCGUGCCAGCAGCCGCGGUAAUACGAGUGGUGCAAGCGUUAUUCGGAAUCAUUGGGCGUAAAGGGUGUGUAGACGGUAUGUUAAGUCAACUGUUAAAUUCUCCGGCCUAACCGGAGGUCAGCAGUAGAUACUGAUGUGCUUGAGGGUGGAAGAGAGAAGUGGAAUUCUCGGAGUAGCGGUAAAAUGCGUAGAUCUCGAGAGGAACACCAAUGGCGAAGGCAGCUUCUUGGUCCAUUUCUGACGUUGAAACACGAAAGCGUGGGGAGCAAACAGGAUUAGAUACCCCCGUAGUCC